This 50-nucleotide transfer RNA is filed under the name Chrosomus erythrogaster (southern redbelly dace). Its description in RNAcentral is "partial tRNA-Leu". It matches the Rfam family "tRNA", at positions 23 to 71 of the family's 71-position model. From Rfam's summary of the family: Transfer RNA (tRNA) molecules are approximately 80 nucleotides in length. Their secondary structure includes four short double-helical elements and three loops (D, anti-codon, and T loops). Lineage: Eukaryota; Metazoa; Chordata; Actinopteri; Cypriniformes; Leuciscidae. The record is from RNAcentral.
CCGUUGGUCUUAGGAACCAAAAACUCUUGGUGCAAAUCCAAGCAGGGACU